UUCCGUAGGUGAACCUGCGGAAGGAUCAUUGACACGAUAUCCACACCAAACCCUGAACUUACUGGGGGGCAUCUGCGCUGCAGUUGCUUGAGCGGGCGGUUGGCGAAAGCCUUCUGCGUGCGUUUCCCAUUUUUUUCAUUAUUUUUUUUGCUAACUUGCUCAAUAACUAUACAACUUUUAGCAAUGGAUGUCUCGGCUCGAGUAACGAUGAAGGACGCCGCAAAAUGCGAUAAGCGCUGUGAAUGGCAGAAUUCCGCGAAUCAAGAGAAUGCUGAACGCAUACUGCACUUUUAGGUCAUUCCUGAAAGUAUAUCUGGUUGAGGGCGUUAAUACCAUAAUGUCUACCUGAAUUCAACCUUCGGGCUGUUAUCAGGUUGUACGUUCUUGUGCGCUAGCGACGAGGUUGGUUUAUUCCUUCCGAUCCGUUGGCGCAUUAAAUCCAACGGCACCUUGUUUCAACGACCACCCGGUAAUUCUAACGAAUUUUAGGUGGUUGGUUGGGGCAUGGAAUCCGUUUUAACGAAAUCGGAAAUUCUUCUGAAUUUUUGUUCUCGCAUCAACUCAGGUAAGGCUACCCGCUGAAUUUAAGCAUAUC
Molecule: ribosomal RNA, 595 nt
Filed under: uncultured eukaryote
Lineage: Eukaryota
Description: eukaryotic LSU rRNA
Rfam family: 5.8S ribosomal RNA (bases 173-327)
Source: RNAcentral